GACGAACGCUGGCGGCGUGCUUAACACAUGCAAGUCGAACGAAGUGGGGAACGGGUGAGUAACACGUAAUCAACGUGCCCUUCAGAGGGGGACAACAGUUGGAAACGACUGCUAUUACCACCUCAUGAGGCACGGGAUUGCGUUGGAUAGGCUGGUGGGAGGGGUAAUGGCUCACCAAGGCUAUGAUCAGUAGCCGGCCUGAGAGGCUGAACGGCCACAGUGGGACUGGGACGCGGCCCAGACUCCUACGGGAGGCAGCAGUAGGGAAUCUUCCGCAAUGGACGAAAGUCUGACGGAGCAACGCCGCGUGAGUGAGGACGGUCUUCGGGUUUUAAAGCUCUGUUAAUCGGGACGCGGUACCGGAAUAGAAAGCCACGGCUAACUACGUGCCAGCAGCCGCGGUAAUUC
RNAcentral lists this ribosomal RNA (408 nucleotides) under uncultured bacterium. RNAcentral's name for it is "partial 16S ribosomal RNA". It matches the Rfam family "Bacterial small subunit ribosomal RNA", at positions 28 to 526 of the family's 1533-position model. The record is from RNAcentral.